RNAcentral lists this long non-coding RNA (1534 nucleotides) under Pan troglodytes (chimpanzee). RNAcentral's name for it is "lncRNA (ENSPTRG00000052908.1)". Lineage: Eukaryota; Metazoa; Chordata; Mammalia; Primates; Hominidae. The record is from RNAcentral.
CUCCCAUGCAGUUCAAGUUUAACAUAUCUUAUUUUUUUUUGUCUUUGUUUAUAGAGAGGGGGUUUCGCCAUGUUGCCCGGGCUGGUCUUGAAAUCCUGAACUCAAGUGAUACGCCUGCCUCAGCCUCCCAAAGUGCUGGAAUUACAGGCAUGAGCCACCACACCAGGCCUAGCUUAAAAUAUCUUUGAAAAGAAUAUUUUCAAGUAUGUUAGCAAGUGUUUCUGAAUGGAAUGUUUGUGCAAAGUAUAUCAGCAAAACGAAGCCACAGUCUUAGCCACACUGGACGUCAUUGUCAAUGAAGAGAAGACUAAACAGGGAGUGGGAGUAAAAGCAACACCUGCUCCUGAAGAACCAACUAUCAGAGUCUUCAUCUUUCCCAAGGAAAAGCAUGUGAGUAGACACUUAAGAUGUUUUAAUUGCUGUAAUUCAGGUACAUAUUUUUAAAAGUGAAAUAUUAAUAGUAUCCUGGACUUUUAGGAACCUCCUCUGCCUGCCACUGCUGUUUUCCAUUUCAUGGCAGCAGGUGGCUUUGAAAAUGUUAGCUGCUUUUUCCGUAUUUACUGUCGCCUUUCUAAGUAGACUGUUUACCCGGGUCUAUCUUUACUUUUCAAGUUCAGACACGUCACUGGUUUUCUGCUGCCCCUUUUGGCUCCAUUCCACGUGCGUCCAUACAAACCGGCUGCUGCACCUGGAGGCUGAGCAGCCACAGCGUCACUGAGUCAGAGCCCCGUCUACACCAUCACGACGGCAGUGUGGCGUCUGCACAGAGAUGAAUUGCUCCGUGUGUAUAAUGACACGGAUUUCAUUGUACACUGUUUUUUUUUUCUUUCCUCAAGCUCAUUGUCUCACGCUCAUGUUUAAUGAGUGUCCUAUAUGAUUGUCACUCAUUUUGACAAAAAUCUCAGAAAAAAAAGAAACAACAAUAUAAACCCCUCCUGACUUGAUUGUACACACUCAUCCGAAAAUUAAUCUGCUUCGUUUUUUUUCGCCUUGCAGAUACAUUUCUCUUGGCUUUCUGCUGUACUCCGGGCUGGCGGUUAUCAGCCCUGCUGCUGUGAUGGUCAACAUUGAGUGUCAACUUGAUUGGACUGAAGGAUGAAGUACUGUUCCUUGGUGUGUCUGUGAGGAGCAUGUUGAUUUGGCAAAGAACAAUUUGGUAAAUUCUAAGAAACGGGUCAUUCCAGGUCCUCUAAGAUAACCGGGGUACUUUUCUUGACCAUUAUCCAAGGCUUCUUAUCCAAGGCUUCUCCUGGCCUUUGUCUAAAUGGAAAACAGGUGUUUUCAGGGCCCACACAGGGCUUCCAGGGCACAGCAGGACACUGGGUAAGCGGGAGAUGGAAACGUCAUCCCUUAUGGUCAUAGGCGAGUUUGUGGGACCCUAACACUUUGAAGCCAUGUGAUCACAUCACCGUCAUAUUUUAAAUCAGACCUGCCUAUUUCCGCCUCUCAGUUUGCCUGUCUGAACAUUUCUGUUGUCUUUUUUUCUAAAUGUCUUUCUUAACACAUUGGUUUAAUACAAACAGUUACAUCUCCU